This 251-nucleotide ribosomal RNA is filed under the name uncultured bacterium. RNAcentral describes it as "partial 16S ribosomal RNA". It matches the Rfam family "Bacterial small subunit ribosomal RNA", at positions 15 to 265 of the family's 1533-position model. The record is from RNAcentral.
GAUCAUGGCUCAGGAUGAACGCUGGCGGCGCGCCUAACACAUGCAAGUCGAACGAUUAAAGCACCUUCGGGUGUGUAUAAAGUGGCGAACGGCUGAGUAACACGUGGGCAACCUGCCCCUCUCAUUGGGAUAGCCACGGGAAACCGUGGAUAAUACCGAAUACUUCGAGACUUCCGCAUGGAAGACUCGAGAAAGCUCCGGCGGAGAGGGAUGGGCCCGCGGCCUGUUAGCUUGUUGGUGGGGUAACGCCU